GCAGACACAUUCCUGCCAAUCAGCAGCAGACCCUCCCUCCCAGACCCUCCCACCUCCUGGACAGCUCACUAAGAAUGCAGCUUCAAAAUGGAUGCUGUCCAGGAGGUGGGAGGGUCUGGGAGGGAGGGUCUGCUGCUGAUUGGCUGGAAUGUGUCUG
Molecule: non-coding RNA, 157 nt
Organism: Pelobates cultripes (western spadefoot toad)
Lineage: Eukaryota; Metazoa; Chordata; Amphibia; Anura; Pelobatidae
Source: the annotation of a GenBank genome assembly